GUCUGUUUGAAUAUAUAUAUAAACAGUCUAACCUGCCCACUGAAUAAUUUUUUUAAAGGCCGCGGUAUUCCUGACCGUGCAAAGGUAGCAUAAUAAUUAGUUUUUUAAUUGAGGACUAGAAUGAAUGGUUGAACAAAAAGUGAUCUGUCUUAAUCUAACCAAUUGAACUUAACUUUUAAGUGAAAAGGCUUAAAUACUCUAGGAGGAAGAUAAGACCCUAUAAAACUUUAUAAUUUUAAAAAUAAAAUACCAUUUAUCAGUACAAAAUAAUUUAUAUUUAUCUAUAUUCCAUUGGGGCGAUGAAAGUAAUACACAUAACUGCUUUUUUUUUAUCCAAUUUUACUUGUUAUUAAUGAUCUUCCCUCGAAAUUCAAAGAAAAAAGUUACUUUAGGGAUAACAGCGUUAUUUUUUUUAAAAGUACAUAUCGACAAAAAAGUUUGCGACCUCGAUGUUGAAUUAAAAUAUCCUUAUAAUGCAACAGUUAUAAAGGAAGGUCUGUUCGACCUUUAAAUUUUUACAUGAUUUGAGUUCAAACCGGCGUGAG
This 545-nucleotide ribosomal RNA is filed under the name Calliax lobata. RNAcentral describes it as "partial large subunit ribosomal RNA". It matches the Rfam family "Bacterial large subunit ribosomal RNA", at positions 1819 to 2625 of the family's 2925-position model. The record is from RNAcentral. Lineage: Eukaryota; Metazoa; Arthropoda; Malacostraca; Decapoda; Eucalliacidae.